Molecule: non-coding RNA, 84 nt
Organism: Acanthosepion pharaonis
Lineage: Eukaryota; Metazoa; Mollusca; Cephalopoda; Sepiida; Sepiidae
Source: the annotation of a GenBank genome assembly
GCAAAACACCAGUUUCUGUUCGAUCACCGACGUUAAGCAGCGUCAAGCCCGGUCAGUACUUAGAUGGGCGACUGCUUGGGAACU